This 469-nucleotide ribosomal RNA is filed under the name uncultured bacterium. RNAcentral's name for it is "partial 16S ribosomal RNA". It matches the Rfam family "Bacterial small subunit ribosomal RNA", at positions 28 to 507 of the family's 1533-position model. The record is from RNAcentral.
GACGAACGCUGGCGGCGUGCUUAACACAUGCAAGUCGAACGGAAAGGCCCUGCUUUUGUGGGGUGCUCGAGUGGCGAACGGGUGAGUAACACGUGAGUAACCUGCCCUUGACUUUGGGAUAACUUCAGGAAACUGGGGCUAAUACCGGAUAGGAGCUCCUGCUGCAUGGUGGGGGUUGGAAAGUUUCGGCGGUUGGGGAUGGACUCGCGGCUUAUCAGCUUGUUGGUGGGGUAGUGGCUUACCAAGGCUUUGACGGGUAGCCGGCCUGAGAGGGUGACCGGCCACAUUGGGACUGAGAUACGGCCCAGACUCCUACGGGAGGCAGCAGUGGGGAAUAUUGCGCAAUGGGUGGAAGCCUGAUGCAGCAACGCCGUGUGCGGGAUGACGGCCUUCGGGUUGUAAACCGCUUUCGCUCAUGACGAAGCUUUGUGUGACGGUAGUGGGUAAAGAAGCACCGGCUAACUACGUG